UUGGGAUCCAGAAGUUUCAUCUCCCAUUUUCCCCUUCAUUCUCCCUUAAUCGUUCAUCCUCGAUGCUGUCACCGGUGACUAUAGGUGCGCUGAAACCUCCCACCUCCGUUCAUGUUGUUUGGCGCAUCGACUUCCUCUUUCUUUUAGGUUGGUGCUGUGUGUGCAGAAGAGAGAGAGAGUGCUCAGGUAUUUUUUUUUCUAUUCUCUUCUUUUUCCUGAUCAUGUUCUGGAAGUAGAGAAGUCUAGAACUCAACCCAUUUUCUCCCGUCUUCUCCUUCCUCCCCCACCAUCUCCAAGUGCUGUCGACGUGUCUGUAGAGGAGGAAUUCCAGCCACUGCUACAUGGGCUUCAAACCACAAUUUCUCCUUUUCCUCUUUCUUUGAACUUGUUUUGAGCUGCAGAAAGGGUCCGAGAUCGAAACUCUUCUGUGUCCUCUCCAACCUUUGAUCGUGGUUCAGACCACUGCCGACAAGUGCUUAGGCAUGCUUCACCGUUGCUCAGUCUUUAAUCUUCUGAACUAAGACCCGAUUAUUCUCCCCUGUUUUGCAUCCACAACUUGCAUGUGUGGCUGGUGAGAGCCUCGAUAUCUCCCUUUUUCUACCUGGCACUGGAUUGUGUGUGUGAGCUCAUUGUGAGUUUGGACUACUUAAACAUUGAUUUAUCCCUCUCCUUAGUCCAGCCUCAUUUGCUCUGCCGGGUUUGAGCAUUGGAAGAGUUGGGAUCAAGAGAUUGAAGCUUUGAAGAUAUUUGGAGCUUAUUUUCUUCGGUUUUUCUAUUCCUUUUCUCUUUCCUCUCUUGUAAUCUAAAAUGGGUUCACUUAUUUUGUAUAUUUGUAGCUUGUGGAUGAUUAUGAGUAGCUAAACCUUUUUGUUCUAGGAUUAUUUGAAACCCUUGUAUGGAUUAAUACUAUAUUUCUCCUCUC
Prosopis cineraria is the source of this 922-nucleotide long non-coding RNA. RefSeq lists it as uncharacterized. The record is from RefSeq and is a predicted model, not a curated record. Lineage: Eukaryota; Viridiplantae; Streptophyta; Magnoliopsida; Fabales; Fabaceae. The transcript is spliced from 3 exons.